UUUUUUUUUUGGCUUAUGCUUUUUUAAAGUCAGCUCCCUCACAUGUGACUAUCAGUAACAACAAAUUACCAACAGUAACAGGGUCUUAUAUCCACAGACAUUCUCAUAUGAGGUAUCAAUGUCCCCAGGGCUAUAUGUGCAGUUUGAAAAUGUCUCCGAGGUAAUUUUGAUUUUCAUUAACGCAAGAUAUUUUGAGAUUUACAAACAUGUAUUAUUAGGAAAACUGCAGUCAACUCCCUGGAACUGAGGGAAAGAAGGGAUGAGCAUAUUUGUUAAAUUAAAAAUCUAUAGUGGGAGAUUAACUGGCACAGGCUUUGUGACAAGACAUGAGAAAAGAGCGCCUUGCUACCAACCUCUGUCACAACACCCAAUAGAAUAGCACCUCAUAGUGAAUGUCAUAAUCUACACAGCAUCUAUUCAGGAAAUCAUGGUGGCGUUACCACAGCUCAAUGUCAAUGCCACCCAGUGACCCAACUUUAGAUGAAGAAUGUUGUAUAUUUGGAAAGAAGCAACAUUGUUUAUAUGGAGCUAGAAAAAUGCAAACUUUAAACAUAAGUCACUUAAGCAUAACUAAAGGUAGUUUUUCUCUAAUGAAAAGAGUAAAGGAAUCAAGUAAUGCUGUUGCCCAAGCUAUGGCAAGUCCCAAGAAGGAAGGAGCAAGGCCUCCUGCAGCUGCUCUUCCCCAUUGGUGGUUGUCUUCCUCUUCUACUUCAGUGUCACUGCAGUCUACAUCCAGCCCCAAAGCCAUUUUUCCCAGAAAGGAGGGAAAUUCCUGACUCUUUUCUACACCGUUGUGACUCCCAUUCUCAACUCCCUCAUCUACACCUUGAGGAAUAAGAAUAUGAAGGGUACCUUCAGGAGGCUAUUUGGAAAUGACAGAAUGGCCAGUGAGAACUGAGGGGCUCAGACUUAAGGGUGAGUUCAGCUUUUGUUCAGUUCAGCUUCUCACAGCAUGGUCUUUGUGGUGCUUCAUGUGUGGGUGAUUUUCAAUUAUCAGUACAAAUACAAAGGGUCAAUGGUGUGCUUUUAUAGACAGUGGACCAAUAAAAUUAAAUUAACACACCACGUAGAGUUAAUGUUAAUUUUAAAUACAAGUAUAACAUUGUUCCAGUCAAGGUAUGGUCAGGAAAUAGAAACAACUCCAGUUCUUUUAAAAAAGAUAGUUUAUUAUAAGGAAUGGUUAACUGGCUAUUAAGGACAAGGAAAGGGAAAUUGAAAAAGAAAAAGAGCAACCUCCUCUAGAGUUGGAGGACACAAGGAAUGGAUUGGAACUGUUAAAACUUAUGGCUCAGAGGAGCAACCCGUUAAACAACAACAAGAACAAAAAAGGUUGCAGUCAAGUGGAUUUGGGCUCAUAGCAACCCUAUAGGACAGAGUAGAACUGCCCCAUAGGGUUCCCAAGGAGCAGCUGGUGAAUUUAAAUUGCUGGCUUUUGGUUAGCAGCCAAGCUCUUAACCACUGUGCCACCAGGGCUCCAGAAGAGCGACAUAGGAAGCAAAAUUCUUAAACCUCCUACUUCUGAGGAGGGACAAGGGCUGGUUAUGCCAGUAUCAUUGAUGGAACCUAAUGCCCUUGUUCUACUCACCACAGCUGAGAAUCUUCAUUCAACUUAAUUCAACUCCUCCUGCCUAAUAAACUUCCACUGACACGGUGAAAUAGUUACUAGGGUCAUAUUAACAAGAAGAGAAAGCAAACAGGAAGCAAACAGGGAAGAGAAAGGCUCUUCUCAUCUCACCCACCAACCUGCCUGCCAGUAUCGCCCCCUAUGGGUGAUGACUAAUAAGAAAACAGCAAGCAAAGAAGAAGUGUAUUGUGCACACUCCCAAAUGCAGCCUCAUGAAAGGGCUGAUAAAAGUAUGGAUUUGGAGCUCAGAGACACACCUUAAUACCUGGCUCACAUGUGUGGUACAUCACACAAGUCUUCACAGUAUAACAGGAAUCCAAAAGACAAAGUUCUAAUUAAGAAGAAGACAAAUAUAUAGACAGGUUGUUGAUUCUGCUCAGUAUUCUUCUCGCUCUUCACUUUCUUCUGAGAACACCAUGUCAAUAGACCGUGCUAAUGAGCCUACCCUGCAAAUGAAGCGUCUGUGGUCACCUGAGAGGGAAUUGGUCAGUGUAGCCCUUGCUGGGAGGGGCCAUGACUUGAAAUUGACAAGGAGUUGUGUAUAUAAGCAGCCAAAUCCACAGAGGUUUUAGAGACAGAAACAAGUAGGAAGAGAUGUAGCAAGAAGAAGCAGAAGGAAGAAAGAAGAGAGAAGAAGCAGAAAAAGAGGAGGCAAGAAACCUCCUAAGGGAGCUGGAACGUGGGUCAAGGGCUGUAACACUGAUGAUAGCAAGAGGCCCAGAAGGGACCCAGUGACAGAGUCGUUGGUGACAGAUGGCUGGGCCAAAAGGAGGCUGUCUUCAGGGGGCUGAGAGGAAACUGUCCCCAUGGGGCUGAGGGUAACCUGUCCUCAGGGGGCCAAGAGGAGGCCUACACCACCAAGAGGAGCUGAGAGCUGUCCUGCACGGAAGAAGGGAGACUUUGACUACAUGCUUCCUGACCUAGAUCCUGAGUUGUAGCCUGUUCCUUAAUAAAUCACCUCACUGCAAGAGAUGCCAACAUAGUCUCAAGGGUCCACCUGAUCCAAGAAGCUCACUCCUCAACAACAUCCCUCUCCAGCCCAUUAUCCAGUCCAAUCCAUGUCUGAAGAGUUGGCUUCGGGAAUGGUUCCUGUCCUGGGGCAACAGAAGGUCUGGGGGCCAUGACCACCGGGGUCCUUCCGGUCUCCUGCACACCAUUAAGUCUGGUUUUAUGAGAAUUUGGGGUCUGCAUCCCACUGCUCUCCUGCUCCCUCAGGGGUUCUCUGUUGUGUUCCCUGUCAGGGCAGUCAUCAAUUGUAGCCGGGCACCAUCUAGUUCUUCUGGUCUCAGGAUGAUGUAGUCUCUGGUUCAUGUGGCCCUUUCUGUCUCUUGGGCUCAUAAUCGCCUUGUGUCCUUGGUGUUCUUCAUUCUCCUUUGAUCCAGGUGGGUUGAGACCUAUUGAUGCAUCUUAGAUGGCUGCUUGCUAGUGUUUAAGACCCCAGAUGCCACUCUUCAAAGUGGGAUGCAGACUGUUUUGUUAAUAGAUUUUAUUAUGCCAAUUGACUUAGAUGUCCCCUGAAACCAUGGUCCCCAGACCCCUGCCCCUGCUACGCUGGCCUUCGAAGCAUGGAAUUUAUUUUUAAUUAAACAUUUUUAUUUUCAGAUAACUGUAGAUUUAUUAUGUAGCUAUAAGAAAUAAUACAAAGAUCCUUUACUUAGUUUUCCCAGUGGUAACAUCUUGCAAAACUGUGGAACAUGUCUCAACCAGGAAGUUGACACAUAAUAAAUAAAAGACAAAAUAUAGAAAACUUCCAUCACCACCAAAUCCCUCGUUGCCUUUUCUAGUCACACCACUUUCUUUGCAACCCCCCAAUUAAGCCCUGGCAGUAACUCAUCUAUUCUCUGUUUCUAUAUUUUUGUCAAUUGAAAAUCUGAUAUAAUUGAGAUUACACAAUACGUAGUCUUUUGGAAUUGACUGUUUUUUGCUGAGUAUAAUCCUCUGGAGAUUCAUCCACAGUUGUGGCUUGUACCAAUAACAACAUUUUCCUUUUGAUUACCAAAGAGCAUUAAAUGAUAUUGAUGUACCACAGUGUUAUGGAUUGAAUUGUGUUCUCCAAAAAGAGAUUUCAAAAUCUUAACCCCUGUUCCUAGGGGUUAAGAAGAAGCCCUGGUGGAGCAGUGGUUAAGCGCUUGGCUGCUAACCGAAAGGUUGACGGUUCAAACACACCAGCCACUCUGUUGGAGAAAGAUGUGGCAGUCUGCUUCCGUAAAGAUUAUAGCCUUGGAAACCCUUUGGCACAAUUCUACUCCAUCCUAUGGGGCCCCUAUGAGUCAGAAUUGACUCAAAGGUAGUGUUUUUUUUUUUUUUUUGUACCGGUGACUGUGACCUUGUUUGAAGGGUCUUUCUUUGAAGAUAUUGUAAGUUAAGUCAUACCAGAGUAGGGUGUGUCCUACUCCUAAUCCCUUUUGAGUGGUGUCUUAUAACAGGAGAGAACAGACACAGAGAGAGGCAUACAUGGGGGAAGACACCACUUGAAGACGCAGCCAUAAGCAAUAAAGGAACUCCAAAGAUUGCCAGAAGAACCAGAAGCUAGGGAAAACUCAUGGAACAGCUGCUCCCUCAAAAUCCGCAGAAGGAAUUGCCAAGGCCAGUACUUCAAAUUCAACUUCUAGUUUCCUGAACUGUGUAUAAAUAAAUUUCUGUUCUUUGAAAUCACCCACUUUGUGGUAUUAUUAUUAUCAUUAUUUUUGUGGCAGCCCUGGGAAACUGUGACAGCAUUUGGUAUGGGGUGUUGCUCUAAAAAGUACCUAAAAAUGUGGAAGUGGCUUUGUAAUUGGUUAUAGGGUACAGGCUAGAAUUGUUUUGAGGUACUUUGACGGGGAAAACCUAGAUUGCCAAUCUCUCCCACUUAACCUGAUCUUCCUGCAGUCAACGGCAAGCCCUAUAUCCAAUUUCCCGGGCAAUCCAGUUUCUUUUUUGGGCCUUCUAUUCUGUUUCAAUGGUCUAUUUGUCUAUUUUUUCAACAAAAUCACCAGAUCUUUAUAAUAAAUUUAAUACUUGAUAAGUAGAGCCCUUUGGGCUAAUUUAUCUUCCUUAAAACAAUUCCUUAUUUUUUUUUUCCAUCCAUAUUCCUUGUCACUUUUUACCACAUGCUAUGAUUUUUAAAAAAUAUUCUUUUAGUGUUUCCUUCACCCCAUAGAACAUGUAUUCCUUGAGGGUACAGAUUAUUUCUUUUUUCCCCAUUUAUACCUAGAGCAGUAACUAGGAGAUGCAAAUAAUUGUUGCAUGUGUGAAUGAAUUUAGGUCCUAGCCAGCCACUUUUCAGCUGUAGGGUCAAAGACACCUUAAGGAUCAUUCUUCAGUUUAUCUCUAUUUUCCAUUUGUGAAACAUGGCUAGUAAUAGUAGCUGCUUCACCAGUUAUUUUUAAGUGAGAUAAUUCAUAUAAAGUGCUUAAUAAACUACUUGUUAUGUAGUAUGUAAUAUAACUAGGAAAGAAAAAUAAACAUAACAUGAAGCCCCUAGAAAUCAGAAAGGGAAGGAAAUUCGUAAUAAAUAGGAUAAUUAGUAACUAGAAGUUUGCAGCACAAGGAAACAGUCUGUAACUAAACCUUCAGGUGGGUAGUUUUACAAUCUUUACUUCAAAAAAAAAAUCAUUAAGGAAUAUAGGUUUUUGAAUCUCUGUUUUUACACAGAUGAGAGAGAGUAUGAUUUAGAGGCAGGAGACUGAGGGGGGAGGUGGUCACUACCCCUACUGUGACAGUGUUUCUCAAAGAGGACCAGAGGACUCCUUUCCCAGACCCCAUAAAGCUUUUAUUUGAAAUGCUGCCUCCUGACUCAAUGCCAGAGCAAUAAACCCAAAGAUGAUGAGGGUGGAACCCAGGAAUCUGCUCAUUUAACAGUCUCCCUGAACGUUUCUCAGACACCCUAAAUACCCGUAGGCUUUAAGCAGAGGAAAGGACUUGCUCAAGGCCCCAUAGAGGUUAGUGGAAGACAGAGCAGGUGAAUCAGGUCACAGGGGAAGAUAAGGGAAGAUAUCCCAAUGGAAAAGGGGGAAAAGUAUCUGAAGAAAGUAAAAUAGGGCAAAUAAAAUGUAGAAGAUAAGCAAGUGCAGGGCCUUUGUAGAGAAUAGUGAGACCAACGCUAAUAAAGUGCACAUUUCAUUAUAGAUCAAGGUUGGAAAAAGAGGAAAGUAGUGGAAGAACUUAGAAAAACAUACUUUCAGCUAAUUCGGUUUAGAUGAUUGACUAAAUUUUCAUGUAUACAAUUCAUCCUCAUAGUCGUCCACAGUCACACUCAUUGUUAGCCGGACUUCCCCAAAUGAUGUCAUCAACUCAUGAAAACGCAAUGGCUUAAAGCAGUCUAUUUUUGGAAAAAAUAUCACGUUGAUAGCUUGCCAAAUUAUUUCCAUAAAAAAGGGGGGGGGAAUAUAAUCCUAAGUAAAAAUGUAUCUAUAUAAAAAAAAAAAAAAAACAGAAGAUAAAAUGUCAAGACUGUAUAUAUCUUGAGGAAACACCUGAUGCCAGAUAAUACCCUAAAAUAUUUUGCAAUGUAUUCUUUCACUCUCAGUGAUUCCCAAUGUUCCUAGAGCUCUUCCCACUGAGGUCAACCAGCCAUUGCUUCAGUGGUGAAAGAAGCCAAUCUUAACCUUGAGAACUAUCUUUAAACACACAAGUGGAGGCUAUGGUCAUGAUUAUUGUGGGCCAGGGAUUCAGGCAGGGCUUGACUAAGUGAUUCUUAAGCUCCAUGUGGUAUCUGCUGAUGUUGAUCCCUGGCUGGGCUUAACUGGCGCUUGGGCUGAGCCUGGGCUGGACACUCCAUGGGGCCUCUCUCUCCGUGUGGAUCUAUCCUCCAGAGUCCCUCUGUAUGCUUGCCAGGGCUACCUCAGAAUCACAAGAAGAAUGUUUGGUGCAAGUAAGGGGAAGCUGACAGUUUCUUUAAAGGUUAAGUGUCAUAUUCCCCACAUUGUGGUGGUUAAUUCAUGGCAGACAUCAGCCCAGAUUCAAGAGGAAAAGGAAUAAAAAUACCACUCAACGGGAGAUUGAGAGAGAUUCUGCAGCCACCUUAACAUACACUUUGGAUCAAAACCCUGGGACAGAAGAAAGAGACCAGGAGAGUUGAGAUGAUGAGAAGUGCCUGCCUCCAUCCCCAUCUCUCUGAGUUUGGAAAUUUAAGACUUGAGAAGUUGUGUGUCUCAUUUCCUGAUGGAGGGAAUGAGGGGCAACUUCAUCAAGUACUCUGUGCCAACUUGUGGAGACUGUUAAAGAAAAGACAUGUUGGUAUGUGCAAAAGAGAAGGUCAACUAUAGAAAAGUGAAAAUUACAUUUCUGGCAAAAUGCAUUAUGGUCUGGGAGAGAAAUUUAAAUAUAUUAAAUGUUUGGGUAGCAGGCAAAAUUGUUUUUCUUUAUCCCAAGUAACUGAUAUGAAACUAAUUUCUGUAAGUCCUCAGAGGCAGCAGACACCAUUAUGACAUGGAGAUCAGAGUAGCCGAAGGUGAAUGGACCAUUGAUAUGAGCAGGGAAUUGGGGUAGUGGAGGACCAUCAUUCUGGUGGGAGCACUUGCAUGUGGAUAUGCUUGGAAAGAUUGAUGUUAGCACGUUCUGUGCCUGGAGGAGAGGUCACAAACAUAUACAAAUAUUUUAGAGUCAGAGUAAAAAAAUAGAGGCAAGAUAAGACCUGGAAAAACUGGAGGAGAAAACAAUCAAGAUGAUAAUAAAUUUCAAUAUCUUGGAGCUGACAGUUUCUUUAAACUAAUUAAUUAUUGUAGAUAAAGAUAGUUUAUAGGUACAUCUUUAAAUUUUUGGGUUAAUAUCCCUAAUUGUUCAUCUAUUCACAGAAUGUUUGCUAAGGGACUACACUUUACCAGUAUGUGCAAGGCAGUGAGGCUACAUGAAAGGUAAAAAUUAUUUAUUUAUUGAGUUUUGUCAAUAAGCAAGUAGGUGUCUUAAAAGGCAAAGACACAAGAAGUGUUAAGAAGUAAAUUUAUUUGGCAAUAUCUGUUGGAAACCAUUUUAGCUAAAUGGUCAGAGAAAACCUCUCUGAAGAGGUAAGAUUUGAGCUGAGCUAGAAAUACUGGGAAGAGCUAGCAUCGUGAGAAGCCAGGAGUGAGUCCUUUACAAUUAAAGAAUAAGGGCCAUGGGCUAUAACGCAGACCUCGCACUUCCCAAAGCCGGAGCAAAGAGGAAACUAUAGUCAGUUACAGACUCAAAAGUCACAAGCUAGGACCAAACUAAAUGCUCGAGGGAUACACAGCUUUCCCAAGCAGGGAAAAAGCGUUCCCGUGACUCUGUAGAGUGGGAAUUGUGAGUGGUAAGAAUAUAUCAUCUUCACAUCAGAAUACAGUGGAAAGAAGCUUCGCAUGGAUGGUUUCUUAGAAACAGACACUGACCCAGCAGGAGCUGUCAUAAAACAGGGUUAUUUAAAGAUACGUAGGGCCUAGCCCACCCAAUGGCAUCAGAUAGAGUGUAUCAUAAACACAUUUCUUUUUGAUUCCAUUGCACUAGGAUUUUAAGUCACUUCGAGGUAUGCUGAAAUGACUGAAGUGAGACGCCUGCCUCAUUUAAUUGAAAGUCUCAUAUAAAUAAAUGACAUCCUUUCUACUCAAAGGAGGGAAGAGCAGCCUGUGUAUUUCCGCUAUUCAAAGUUAAGGUUCUCAGCAUUUUCAGAAGCCUGAGAAAUCCGAAUCUCAGAUUUAAUGGCCACAGCAAGUUCUUAUGUGCUGGGAGUUUCUGAUGGAAGGGAUUUACCACUGUGUGCCAAUGUCUAGGGUAAAUGUUUGUAAGAGAAUAAAUAAAACAGAUAAUCUCACAUAAGGAUGAAAACUAAAAAAAUCAAGAAGUAGGUGAAUAAAAGAGUAAAAUGAUAAGAUGAAUUUUUUUAAAUUACUAAAUAUUAAUAACGACUAAAAACUGUGUCAGGUAUGGUUGGGUGAUACAAAAAAAUUGAAAAAUGUUGACAAUCCAAGUACUUAAAAUAUGGUCUGGAGAGAAAUUUAAACAUAUUAAAGGGUUAGAUAGCAGGCAAAAUUGCAUUUUUCUUUAUUCCAAGUAUAUGAUAAGAAGCUAGUUUCUGUAAGUCCUCAGAGGCAGCAGACACCAUGAUGACAUGGGGAUCAGAGUAUCCAGAAAGUGGAUGGACCAUUGAUAUGAGCAGGGAAUUGGGGUAGUGGAGGACCAUCAUUCUCGUGGGAGCACUUGUAUGUGGACAUGUUUGGAGAGACAGAUGUCAGCAGAUUCUGUGCGUGGAGGAGAGGUCUCAAGUUGGGGACUAAAUGGAGAUCAUUGAAUUUUGUUGGCCGAAAAUGAGGAACCUAAUUUUGAUUGUUCAACUAAUUAUUUUAAAUUUACAUUAUGGGAAGGCAGCCUGUAAUAGGAGACUCUGGCCAAAAAGAAGGAUGAAUAAAUGAAUUUUUUUUUUAGAGGGGAUACUGAAGCAUCCCACCAUGAUGGAUGAUGGACCUGGACUGCAGUGUGAAUGAGGAGUGGAAAAUAAGAAGGCAGGGGACACUGCCGACAGCAGAAAAGAAAGUCUGGGAAUGGACUUAGUGUAGAUGAGCUGCAGGGAGCAGGAGGAGGGCAUUCUCGACUUCAUGAUGUCCCCUGUGCUAUUACUCUAUAACAUAGCAUCUAUAAUGUCCAACAAAGAUAUUUCUCGGCUCCCCAAAGUGGGCAAUUUCCAGAGUCUACAUGAGACAUCGUCCUAACCUCAAUUGACACCCUUUGCUAUUACUCUGCUGUUUCUUCAGCGUGCCCUAAGAGUUUAGCUGAACUCAUGAUUCUUCUCCACCACCUCUAUUACUUUCUUUAAUAUGGGCCUUGAUUAAUGUUUUCCAUGAACUAAUAGAUGGCACAGUGGUUAAGGGCUCGGCUGCUAACCAAAAGGUAAGCAGUUUGAAUCCACCAGCCGCUUCUUGGAAACCCUAUGGGGCAGUUUUUCGCCAUCCUAUGGGGUCACUAUGAGCCAGAACUGACUCAAUGGCAGUGGUUUUUUUAGUAAGACUUAACCAAAUUGAAAGAUUUGUAAUAGUUGUUAGAUGCCAUUGAGUUGGUUCUGACUCAUAGCAAACCUAUGUACAGCAGAAUGACACACCGCCUGGUCCUGAGCCAUCUUAACAACCAUUGCUAUGCUUGAGCCCAUUGUUGCAGCCACUGUGUCAAUCCAUCUCAUUGAUGGUCUUCCUCUCUUGUGCUGACCCUCAUUUUACCAAGCAUAAUGUCCUUCUCCAGGGACUGGUCCCUGCUGAUAACAUGUCCAAAGUAUGUGAGACAAAGUCUCACCAUCCCGACUUCUAAGAGCAUUCUGGCUGCACUUAUUCCAAGACAGGUUUGUUUAUUCUUCUGGCAGCCCAUGGUGUAUCCAAUAUUCUUUGCCAGCACCACAAUUCAAAGGCAUCAAUUCUUCUUCAGUCUUCCUUAUUCAUUGUCCAAUUUUCACAUGCAUAUGAGGCAAUGAAAAUAUCAUGGCUUCGGUCAGGUUCGCCUUAGUCCUCAAAGUAACAUCUUUGCUUUUUAACACUUUAAAGAGAUCUUUUGCAGCAGAUCUGCCCAGCCUUUGAUUUCUUGACUGCUGUUUCCAUGGACGUUGACUGUGGAUCCCAGUAAAAUGAAAUGCUUGAAAAAGUCAAUAUUUUCUCCAUUUAUCACGAUGUAUGUAUGUAAGUACCACAGUGUGUUUAUCCAUUCAUCUGUUGAUGAGCACUGUGGUUGUUUCCAUCUUUAUGCUAUUGUGAUUAACACCGCAAUGAACAUGGGUGUGCAUAUGUCUGUGUCAUGGCUCUGAUCUCUCUAGGAUAUAUACCUACGAGUGGGAUUGCUGAAUCAUGUGAUAUUAUUAUUCAUAGCUUUCUGAAUAAGCAUGUAGCGUUCUCCAUAGUGGUUUUACCAGUUUACACUCCCACCAGCAGUGUAUGAGUUUCAAUCUACCUGAAGCCUCUCCAGCAUUUGCUGUUUUCUGUGUUUUUGAUCAGUGCCAUCAUAGCUGGUGUGAGAUGGUAUCUCAUUGUAGUUUUAAUUUGCCUUUCUCUAAUGGCUAAUGACCUUGAGGAUUUCUUCACGUACUUAUUGGUCUACUGAAUGCCUUCUUUGGUGAAGUGUCUGUCCAUGCCCUUUGCCCAUUUUUAAAUUGGAUUCUUUGUCUUUCAUUGUUGAAGUGUUGGAGUUUUCUAUAAAUUUUAGAGAUUAGACCCUUGUCAGAUAUGUCAUUGCCAAAAAUUUUUUCCCAGUCUGGGGGUACUCUUUUUACUCUUCUGGAAAACUCUUUCGAUGAGCAUAAGUAUUUGAUUUUUUAGGAGGUCUAGUCAUUUAGUUUAUCUUCUGCAGUUUGUGCAUUUUUAGUUAUGCUUAAUAGUCUAGUUUUGCCAUAAAUUAGGGCCCCUAUGUUUGUCCCUAUUUUUUCUUCUGUGAUCCUUAUAGUUUUAAGUUUUACAAUUUGGUCUUUGAUCUACCUUGAGUCAGUUUUUGUGUAGGGUGUGAGGUAUGGAUCCUGUUUCAUUUUUCUGCAAACGGAUAUCCAGCUUUGCCAGCAGCCAUUUGUUAAAGAGACUAUCUCUUCCGCAUUUGAUGGAUUUCGACCAUUUGUUGAAGAUCACCUGUCCAUACGUGAUGGAUUUAUUUCUGGGUUGUCAAUUCUGUUCCAUUUGUCUAUGUGUCUAUUGUUGUACCAGUACCAGGCUGUUUGACUAUCGUGGCUGUAUCAGAAAGUGUGAGACCUCCUAGUUUGCUCUUCUUCAGUAAUGCUUUAUUUUUCCAGGGCCUCUUUCAUUUCCGUAUAAAGUUGGUGAUUAUUUUUUCCAUCUCACUAAAGAAUGUUCUUGGAAUUUGGGUUGGGAUUGCCUUACAUCUGUAGAUUGCUUUAGGUGAUAGCGACCUUUUCACAAUGUUAAGUCUUCUUAUACUUGAGCGUGGUAUGUUUUUCCAUUUAUGUAAGUCUCUUUUGGUUUCCUGCAGUAGUGUUUUGUACUUUUCUGUGUAUAAAUCUUUUACAUCUCUAGUUAGGUUUAUUCCCAGGUAUUUUAUCUUUUGAUGCCCAUUGUAAGUGGUGUUGUUUUCUUGAUUUCCUUUUUGGAGUUCUCUGUAUUAGUGUAGAGGAAUCCAACUGAUUUCUGUAUGUUGAUCUUGCACCCUGCCACUUUGCCAAAUCUGACUAUUAGUUCCAGUAGUUUUCUUGGGGAGUCUCUUGGGAUUUUCCAUGUAUAGGAUCAUGUCAUCUGCAUAUAAGAUAGUUUAACUUCUUUCUUACCAAUUUGGAUGUCUUUUAUUUCCCUUUCUUUCCUUAUUGCUCUAGCUAGGACUUCCAGUACAAUAUUGAAUAAAAUUCGUGGUAAACUGCAUCCUUGUUUGGUUCCCAUUCUCAAGGCGAAUGCUUUUAGUCUCUCUCAGGUGAGAAUAAUGUUGGCUGUUGGUUUUGUAUAUAUGCCUUUAAUUAUGUUGAAGAAUUUCCUUUCUAUUCCUAUUUUGCUGAGAGUUUUCAUCAGGAAUGGGUGUUGGAUUUUAUCAAAUCCCUUUCCACUUCAAUUGAGAUGAUCAUGUGAUUCAUUUCUUUGUUUUACUUAUGUGGUGUAUUAUGUAGAUUGAUUUUCUAAUAUUGAACCAUCCUUGCAUACCUGGUAUGAAUCCCACUUGGUGGUGAUUUUUUUUUUUUUUUUUUGAUGUGCUGUAUAAGAUCUAUUGGCUAGAAUUUUGUUCAGAAAUUUUCCACCUGUAUUCAUGAGGAAUACAGGUCUGUAAUUUUCUUUUUUUUUUGUCACAUGGUUGCCUGGCUUCAGUAUCAGGGUUACUUUGGCUUCAUAGAAUGAAUUCUUGACUAUUCCUUCCUUUUCUAUACUCUGAAAUAGUUUGAAUAGUGUUUGUAUGAGCUUUUCUCUGAAUGUUUGAUAGAAUUCUUCAGUGAAGAUGUCUGGGCCAGAGCUUUUUUGACUGGAAUUUUUUUUUUUUUUUAAUUAUCUCUUCAAUCUCUUCUUUUGUUAUAGGUCUGAUAUUAUUUAUUGCAUUUUGGUUUUAUUUAAGGUUUCCCUGGCUACACUAAAAUUUCAAUUUUCUGAGUCUUUCUGUUGUUUCCCAAGAAGUCUUUUGCUCAUCUUUGCUCUGCUCUUUGAAAAACUGUCAGGGCAUGGCACUGAGAAGACUUGCUCACUAAGUACCAUUUUUUUUUCUUUCAGAAAAUGUUUUCACAAUUUCUAGGCACAGAAGUCAGGUAGCUUCUGUCCUGUCUCACCCUUCAUUCUAAAAUAAAAUAAUUUCUGAAAUUCCAAAAGGCUGCAUGAGAGGUAUUACAUUAAAAAAAAAAAAAACAGAAACUGGAAAAAACAUUUUUGAGAGAUGCUUAUGCUUCACCUAUCAUGUUCUUUUUAGGAGCUAAUAACCCAGAAGCAGACUACCAGUUCUUUUUCCCAUACCCCUUUACACAAUCAACUUUUUCCCAUCCCCCUUUGCACAAUCACACUUCUUCCAGGGGAAUUAUUUCUGGAUUAAGGCUUCUUAUUUGAAGGCAUUGCUACAUCUCUGUGGGCAAGACUUUGGCUUCAUUACCUUGAAAACAUCUGGAAAGAUCAAUUAUCAGAAAAAAAAUCACAGUUGGUAAAAUAGAGGUCAGCAAAAAAUGAGGAAAACUCUUAGUGAGAUAGAAUGACACAAUGCUACAACAAUGGACUCAAACACAUCGAUAAUCAUGAAGAUGGAGUAGGACUGGGUAAUGUUUUGCUCUGUUAUACAUAUACAUUUUUUUCAUCCAUCCCGAGUACUACUGAUACUAAGAAGGAUUGUUCUGUGGGGCAAAAUCACCACCAAAUAAACUGGUAAUUAAAAAAAAUUAUCAUUUAUGGCAUGGAAUCUCAAGAGUGUAGUUAACUUAGGUAGGAAAUGAGGGGCAGCGGUGGUUCAGUGGUAGAAUUCUCAUCUUACAUGUGGGAGGCCCAGAUUCGAUUCCCGGUCAAUGCGCCUCAUGUACAGCCACUGCCCAUCUGUCAGUGGAGGUUUCUGUGUUGCCAUGAUUUCAGCAGAACUUCAAAACUAAAACAAACUAGGAGGAAAGGCCUGUUGAUCUACUUCUGAAAAACAGCCAAUGAAAGUUCUAUAGAUCACAACUUCCCAGUUCACAACCAAUCAUAAGGAAGGACAGGACUGGGCAGUGAUUUGUUUCCUUGUGCAUGGGGUCAUUGCAUAUUGGGGGACAGCUCCAUGGCAGCUAACAACCACACAACAUGUAGGAAAUAUUGAAGGAAGCAUCAGCUGAUUUCAUCCAGGUGAUAGACUCAGGCCAAAGCUUCCUGCCUCUCCUUCAUCCAUCCAUGUUUGUCAAUCUACAUCAGUUUGCCUGUCUUCUAUUUCUCAUCUUUUGGUGGUCAACUUCUAUUUUAGUAUUAGAAUCCAGUCUUUAGAAAGAAGUCACAGAGAUUCAUAUUUAUCAUGCUUGUUUAAUCAAAAAGAAAUAAAGCAAAGGUUUUCAGAUGAAAAGUAUAUUUGAUUACUUUUAUUAUGAUUUCCAAUGACUUCUUUUUUAUAUAAGCAGUCAUCUUGUGAGUUUUAAGAAAGUGUCGCACAGACCCAGAGUAUAUGAGUUUCCGGAUCAACAGAGUUGAGAUUUACACUCAAGAAUGAAGUAUGUUGCUAGCAAGCUACUGCCAUUAUCUUUAGUGGCCAGCUGGCUUUACUCUUUAAUAUCUCCCAUUAUAAAUCACUAUUCACUAGUUCAUAAAUUUCUUUCUCAGAAACGAGCCUCUCUUCUUGACAGAGAUCUCCCGAGAGUAUCUCUGGGAGGCUCUUGCUUAAUUUCCCAUUAAAGGUUCUGAGGUGCCUUAACACUUAACUUUAAUGCUUUUCCUCUUUCUUGGAAAACAAGUUAAAGUUAAUAACUGUGAUGACAAAGUAAUUUACAGCAAGAGUGUGCCGUUCUCUCUCCCCAUCCUAAAAAAAAAAAAAAACCAAAAACCAUUGCCCUUGACUCAUG
This is a long non-coding RNA of Loxodonta africana (African savanna elephant), 14504 nucleotides long. RefSeq lists it as uncharacterized. NCBI's taxonomy places the organism in Eukaryota, Metazoa, Chordata, Mammalia, Proboscidea, Elephantidae. The transcript is spliced from 2 exons. The record is from RefSeq and is a predicted model, not a curated record.